This is a non-coding RNA of Nicotiana tabacum (common tobacco), 724 nucleotides long. The record is from RefSeq and is a predicted model, not a curated record. Lineage: Eukaryota; Viridiplantae; Streptophyta; Magnoliopsida; Solanales; Solanaceae.
UUGUUUGUAUAUGUAGAUGGAACAUCGUAUGUGGAUGUACGAUAGGAAUAUUCCUAAUCGGCGGGGUUUAAGAGAUGAAUUUGUACAAGAGAAGCAGUGGAAAAGUUCGCUAGGAGUCAGCUGACCGAUGAGCAAAGCCAGCCAAUCAUGCCAUCGGAGGAAGGAACUCUCCCAUUGUGGUUGAACGUGGUUGGAGGCGUGUAUAAGGGUAGAGCAUACAACCUUUCCUCCGAGCGCAAUUUUCAUUGCCUCGCGUGUGGACUGCAAGGUAUUGGUACAUCCGCCACCGUGCAAAAUGAGGACCUUAGGAGAUGUGUCGAACGAUUCAACAACUUUCUAGGAACGGUGCAGAUGAACGAGAAAAAAAAACAUGAAGAGAAGAUUAGAGACGCACUUAGGAAUGACAUUGACUCCCUCAAGGCUCAAGUGAAUCACUUAAUUGGCCUGCCCCGCUCUCAGCUAAAAAGCCACAUUUAUGAAGAGGAUGAAAGUGACGGAAAUAAUACAAAUGAUGAAUAAGAUGAGGGGGAAUCCGAAGAUGAGUGAUUUUAUGUUUGGUUGGAUUGUUGUUUAGUUGGAUGUUAACUUUGAAUGUUACAUUUUGAUGCUUGGUUGGAUAGUUUUGAUGUUUGAUGGGAUAGUUUGGAUAUUUGGAUGUUUGAUGGGAUAAUUUGGAUGUUUGGAUAUAGUUUAUAAAGUUUUGUUGUUGUUAAGUUGAGUUUUA